AAGAAGUUAGUUAAAAUAUAACAUUAAUAUGUCAUAUUAAAAAUUAUUAAUAAUUUAAUACCUCUUU
RNAcentral lists this transfer RNA (67 nucleotides) under Creobroter jiangxiensis. Its description in RNAcentral is "tRNA-Asp". The record is from RNAcentral. Lineage: Eukaryota; Metazoa; Arthropoda; Insecta; Mantodea; Hymenopodidae.